CAUCUCUUUCUUGGCAUCAUAUUUCUUUACUUAAUUGUGCAAGUCUUGGGGGCAAAGGCUCCUAUUUUUGGGGCUGCCAGCUUGUCUCUUCCUUGUGUUUAUCCAAUUGUAUACCAUUUUGGUGAUCCUUGGUGUUAUUGGUUGUCAAAUUUAGAGUCUUAUGGGAUGCCAAAUUCGAGAAGGAUGGGGAAGAGAAGAGAGUAGAGUAUAAGAUCUUGUACCGUAGAAAUGUAGCUUUGAAAGGAAUCUUAUAGCUCGGAAUCUUACUCGUAGCUCUAUGUAUCCACGUUGUAUAGCAUGUGUUGUACUUUGUACUAAUUUAUUCUCUUUUCCUUCUUCCAAUAAUUGUAGUUUAC
This is a non-coding RNA of Salvia hispanica, 356 nucleotides long. The record is from RefSeq and is a predicted model, not a curated record. Lineage: Eukaryota; Viridiplantae; Streptophyta; Magnoliopsida; Lamiales; Lamiaceae.